UUGAUUCACAAGGCUGCGGAAGAGAAGAGAGCAAUGGUCGAGGCCAGGCGUGGUGAAGAGAUCCUCAAGGCGGAGGAGGUUGCUGCGAAAUAUCGUGCCACAGGGCUUGCUCCAAAGAAGCUCUUAGGAUGCUUUGGGGUCUAAAUUUGAUUCUGAGUGACCGAAGUCAAACUACGCCCAGCUCUAAUCUGUUUGGUUAUUCAUCUAUUCCAUUUGUUGGUGUGUUAAUUCUGUGUGUCGGUAUUCUUAGAUAUUUUGCAAGUCAUAGUGUGCUUGGUUUGUAAAGUAUUGUUGUUAUUGUAUAGGG
RNAcentral lists this long non-coding RNA (307 nucleotides) under Ananas comosus (pineapple). RNAcentral's name for it is "long non-coding RNA (ACOM_LNC012843)". The record is from RNAcentral. Lineage: Eukaryota; Viridiplantae; Streptophyta; Magnoliopsida; Poales; Bromeliaceae.